This 812-nucleotide ribosomal RNA is filed under the name uncultured Planctomycetota bacterium. RNAcentral's name for it is "bacterial SSU rRNA". It matches the Rfam family "Bacterial small subunit ribosomal RNA", at positions 46 to 832 of the family's 1533-position model. The record is from RNAcentral. Lineage: Bacteria; Pseudomonadati; Planctomycetota.
GGAUUAGGCAUGCAAGUCGAACGAGGAUAUAUCCUUCGGGAUAUAAGGGAGGGCGCAAGGGUGAGUAAUGCAUAGAUUACCUGCCUCUAGGAUAAGGACAACUUUGCGAAAGUGGAGCUAAUACUUAAUAAUACAAAAGUGAAUAAUUCUUUUUUGUCAAUUCGAGGGUAGCAAUACCUUUCGCCUGGAGAGGGGUUUAUGUCCUAUCAGCUUGUUGGUAGGGUAAUGGCCUACCAAGGCAAAGACGGGUAGCCGGCCUUAGUGGGUGGUCGGCCACACUGGGACUGAGACACUGCCCAGACUUCUACGGAAGGCUGCAGUCGAGAAUCUUUCGCAAUGCCCGAAAGGGUGACGAAGCGACGCCGCGUGGGUGAGGAAGGCCCUCGGGUUGUUAUUUUUCUGUCAGGAGUUAAGAAAUGUAGGUGUGCUAAUAUCACGCCUAUUUGACGAAGGCUCCAAAGGAAGUCACGGCUAACUCUGUGCCAGCAGCCGCGGUAAUACAGAGGUGGCAAGCGUUGUUCGGAAUUAUUGGGCGUAAAGAGCACGUAGGUGGGUUUGUAAGUCAGAUGUGAAAGCCUCCUGUUCAACGGGAGAAUUGCAUCUGAAACUACUGAUCUUGAGUGCAGGAGGGGAGAAUGGAAACUUCUGGUGGAGCGGUGAAAUGCGUAGAUAUCAGAAGGGAACGCCGGGCGGCGAAAGCGAUUCUCUGGGCCUAUUACUGACACUCAGUGUGUGAAAGCUAGGGGAGCAAACGGGGUUAGAUACCCCGGUAGUCCUAGCCGUAAACGAUGGGCACUAAGUAGAGGGGUUUU